Molecule: non-coding RNA, 539 nt
Organism: Rattus norvegicus (Norway rat)
Lineage: Eukaryota; Metazoa; Chordata; Mammalia; Rodentia; Muridae
Source: RefSeq, a predicted model, not a curated record
GAGAAAGAAAGCUGCAUGGCCACAAAGGUCGCCUGAGGGUUCUCGUGGACAACUUACAGGGAAGAAACCUGUCAAAACUCGGUGCUUGCGUGGGCGAGGCGGCCCAGGGGAUAAAGGAGCUUGCUGCGAAGCCUGAGAGCCUGAGAUUGAUCCCCAGGACGACGGGGUGGAAGGAGACAUCUGCGCGUCGUCUCCCGACCUCUGCGCGUCGUCUCCCGACCUCUACGCGUGUGCCGGGCAGCAGGCGUGUCGCCCGUGUACACAAAAGAACUGAAUCAUUCCUGACAGUAAAAGGAAGUUCUACUAAGUUACCCGGAGAACAGAUGAAACGAGGCAGCCAUCAAAGAAGCAAACAGCCUGGUCCCUGUGUGUGCUCAUCGCUGCCUGCAAAUAGCCAUCAGCAUCCGGGGAGAUUAUUUUAUCCAGAAUCACAAUAGUAAUCAAAGAAUACAAUUUGCUUCUACCGUUGGCUUUCAUGUAGGAAAAACAACCACAUUUCUUGUAGAGUCAACUGAAUAAUAAUCUUCAAAAUAUAAAAA